UCCAGGCGUCGAGUGGCGGACGGGUGAGUAAUGCUUAGGAAUCUGCCCAAUUGUGGGGGACAACUCGAGGAAACUCGAGCUAAUACCGCAUACGCCCUACGGGGGAAAGCAGGGGAUCUUCGGACCUUGCGCUAUUGGAUGAGCCUAAGUCGGGUUAGCUUGUUGGUGGGGUAAAGGCCUACCAAGGCGACGAUCCGUAGCUGGUCUGAGAGGACGAUCAGCCACACUGGGACUGAGACACGGCCCAGACUCC
RNAcentral lists this ribosomal RNA (253 nucleotides) under uncultured bacterium. Its description in RNAcentral is "partial 16S ribosomal RNA". It matches the Rfam family "Bacterial small subunit ribosomal RNA", at positions 83 to 339 of the family's 1533-position model. The record is from RNAcentral.